AACGACUCUCGGCAACGGAUAUCUCGGCUCUCGCAUCGAUGAAGAACGUAGCGAAAUGCGAUACUUGGUGUGAAUUGCAGAAUCCCGUGAACCAUCGAGUCUUUGAACGCAAGUUGCGCCCGAAGCCUUCGGGUUGAGGGCACGCCUGCCUGGGCGUCACGC
This 162-nucleotide ribosomal RNA is filed under the name Corispermum puberulum. RNAcentral describes it as "5.8S ribosomal RNA". It matches the Rfam family "5.8S ribosomal RNA". From Rfam's summary of the family: 5.8S ribosomal RNA (5.8S rRNA) is a component of the large subunit of the eukaryotic ribosome. Lineage: Eukaryota; Viridiplantae; Streptophyta; Magnoliopsida; Caryophyllales; Amaranthaceae. The record is from RNAcentral.